This 28-nucleotide non-coding RNA is filed under the name Homo sapiens (human). The record is from RNAcentral. Lineage: Eukaryota; Metazoa; Chordata; Mammalia; Primates; Hominidae.
UGAGAACAGUCUGCGUUUAACAAGGAGC